UUGCCUACGGGGGGCAGCAGUGGGGAAUAUUGCACAAUGGGCGCAAGCCUGAUGCAGCGACGCCGCGUGAGGGAUGACGGCCUUCGGGUUGUAAACCUCUUUCGCCAGGGACGAAGCGUAAGUGACGGUACCUGGAGAAGAAGCACCGGCCAACUACGUGCCAGCAGCCGCGGUAAUACGUAGGGUGCAAGCGUUGUCCGGAAUUACUGGGCGUAAAGAGCUCGUAGGCGGUUUGUCGCGUCGUCUGUGAAAUUCUGCAGGUUAACUGUAGGCGUGCAGGCGAUACGGGCAGACUUGAGUACUACAGGGGAGACUGGAAUUCCUGGUGUAGCGGUGAAAUGCGCAGAUAUCAGGAGGAACACCGGUGGCGAAGGCGGGUCUCUGGGUAGUUACUGACGCUGAGGAGCGAAAGCGUGGGGAGCGAACAGGAUUAGAUACCCCAGUAGUC
This 448-nucleotide ribosomal RNA is filed under the name uncultured Gordonia sp. RNAcentral's name for it is "bacterial SSU rRNA". It matches the Rfam family "Bacterial small subunit ribosomal RNA", at positions 335 to 795 of the family's 1533-position model. Lineage: Bacteria; Bacillati; Actinomycetota; Actinomycetes; Mycobacteriales; Gordoniaceae. The record is from RNAcentral.